Epinephelus moara (kelp grouper) is the source of this 1677-nucleotide RNA transcript. It is a transcript of the gene named activating signal cointegrator 1 complex subunit 1, with no coding region annotated. Lineage: Eukaryota; Metazoa; Chordata; Actinopteri; Perciformes; Serranidae. The record is from RefSeq and is a predicted model, not a curated record. The transcript is spliced from 11 exons.
UAGCUAACGUUAACUAGUUUACACUAUGGAUGUUUUACGUCCAGCUCUUAUAAAUAUACAUGGAAGAAUAUACCGAAGGAAUGUCAUUAAGGACGAACAUUAUGAGGAAGAGGAAGAUAUGUCUUACAUGGGACCACCAGAGAGUGAAGACUUUGCAGAAGAUGAAUCCUGUGAUGCCAACUUCAUUGAGCAGACUGAUAAGGGAUACCGCUGUGCCAUUGAUGUGCCAAGUGUCCUUUACAAAUACAUCAUUGGGAAAAAAGGAGAGACACGCAGACGCCUGGAGUUUGAUACAAAGACAUCUAUCAGCAUCCCCAAACAAGGAGUGGAAGGACAGAUAGUUAUCACAGGUUCCCACAAAUCUGCGGUCUCAUCUGCAGUCACACGAGUCGAGGUCCUCAUUGAGAGUUUCCGGAAGAAGCAGCCUUUCACGCACUUCCUGUCAUUCCCUCUGAACGAUCCCAAAAUUCAAGAAGGAUUCCUGAGCUUUAAAGACGAGGUGUUGAAGCAGUGCUCACAGGAUCAUGGAGUAGAUGGAAGCAUCUUUCAGAACGCCGCAAAGCUUCACCUGACCAUCGGCACCCUGGCUCUGUUGAGUGACACAGAAGUGAGAAAAGCAUGUGAACACCUUCAGGAGUGUCAAAACGUCAUCAGGGACAUCACAGAAGGGAAUCCACUGCAGGUGGAGGUGACGGGUAUAGAGUACAUGAACGAUGACCCAGCCAUGGUGGACGUCUUGUAUGCCAAAGUCAAUGUGAAAGACAAGUCAGACAAGCUGCAGGUGAUUGCUGACCGGCUGGUAGAGCACUUUGUCUCAGCGGGGCUGAUGGUCAGAGAGUGGGACAGGGUGAAGCUGCACGGCACUGUGAUGAACACUCUGUUCAGAAAGGACUCCACAGUUGAAGACACGGGCGGCCCCGGAAGACAAGCCAUGAGUGAAAGAGAGGCUUUUGACGCCAGAAACAUUUUAAAGAAAUUUGGCACAUAUCAUUUUGGAGAGUUUGAGCUGAACACUGUCCUGCUGUCCCAGAGAUACUCGACAGAUUGUACGGGCUACUACACCUCCGCAGGAAGUGCCAGCUUCUCAUGAGCUUCAGCAGGGCUGAGGAGACUCUCAGCGAGGAGGCAGGUGAUCCCUGCAGCAGCUCUUUGUCAUUCAGAGCGCCGAGUCUGGAGGCUGCCUGCAGCUGUCCACGUCUGUUUACUGCUGGAGGCAUUCACACAGGGAGGAGAGGCAGAAGCCCGGUGUGUUUGAACAGCAGGUCAUGGAUGAGGAUUUCCCAUCAGAUGAUGAACACGAACGGACUCACAACAACGUCUCUUUGCAUCUUUGCUGAAUCUUGUUGAAAUCAGUCGGAAAAUGAACAUUUGUUUGGGUUGUGUUUUUCUUUCAUGGUGACAGGAGGUGCUACAUUUUAACAUUCUGCUUAAAUCUGGCGGGGAUGAAUAAAUAAAUGUGUAAAGCAUCCACCCUUGGCCUUUUGCAAUUAAUUGUUGUGUACCAGGGAUUCCUGAAGCGAUCCUCGCGGAGUUGUUACAUCAAGUGAGAAUAUGUACCGCCACGAUAAGCGGCGGAGCUCGUGUUGGGCCUUAUGAGCUGUUUGUAAGACAGAAAAUGGGAUGUGUUUGCUUUGCAGACGGCAAAUAUUUACAGAUAAACAACCUUUUGAAUUUUGC